RNAcentral lists this ribosomal RNA (779 nucleotides) under bacterium enrichment culture clone 1-16. Its description in RNAcentral is "bacterial SSU rRNA". It matches the Rfam family "Bacterial small subunit ribosomal RNA", at positions 1 to 802 of the family's 1533-position model. The record is from RNAcentral.
UAGAGUUUGAUCCUGGCUCAGGACGAACGCUGGCGGCGUGCUUAGCACAUGCAAGUCGAGCGGACUAAAAGAGCUUGCUCUUUUAGUUAGCGGCGGACGGGUGAGUAACACGUGGGUAAUCUGCCCUCAAGUGGGGAAUAACACAAAGAAAUUUGUGCUAAUACCGCAUAAAGUAUGCUAAUCGCAUGAUAGGCAUAAAAAAGAUUUAUUGCUUGAGGAUGAGCCCGCGGCCCAUUAGCUAGUUGGUGAGGUAAAGGCCCACCAAGGCCACGAUGGGUAGCCGACCUGAGAGGGUGAUCGGCCACAUUGGAACUGAGACACGGUCCAGACUCCUACGGGAGGCAGCAGUGGGGAAUAUUGCACAAUGGGGGAAACCCUGAUGCAGCAACGCCGCGUGAGUGACGAAGGCCUUCGGGUUGUAAAGCUCUGUCUUCACUGACGAAGUAUGACGGUAAGUGAGGAGGAAGCCACGGCUAACUACGUGCCAGCAGCCGCGGUAAUACGUAGGUGGCAAGCGUUGUCCGGAAUUAUUGGGCGUAGAGGAUGCGUAGGCGGUCUUUUAAGUGGGAUGUGAAAUACCCGGGCUCAACUUGGGUGCUGCAUUUGAAACUGGGUAUCUAGAGUGCAGGAGAGGAAAGUGGAAUUCCUAGUGUAGCGGUGAAAUGCGUGGAGAUUAGGAAGAACACCAGUGGCGAAGGCGACUUUCUGGACUGUAACUGACGCUGAGGCUCGAAAGCGUGGGGAGCAAACANGAUUAGAUACCCUGGUAGNNNACGCCG